GACGAACGCUGGCGGCGUGCUUAACACAUGCAAGUCGAACGGAAAGGCCCUGCUUUUGUGGGGUGCUCGAGUGGCGAACGGGUGAGUAGCACGUGAGUAACCUGCCCUUGACUUUGGGAUAACUUCAGGAAACUGGGGCUAAUACCGGAUAGGAGCUCCUGCUGCAUGGUGGGGGUUGGAAAGUUUCGGCGGUUGGGGAUGGACUCGCGGCUUAUCAGCUUGUUGGUGGGGUAGUGGCUUACCAAGGCUUUGACGGGUAGCCGGCCUGAGAGGGUGACCGGCCACAUUGGGACUGAGAUACGGCCCAGACUCCUACGGGAGGCAGCAGUGGGGAAUAUUGCACAAUGGGCGGAAGCCUGAUGCAGCAACGCCGCGUGCGGGAUGACGGCCUUCGGGUUGUAAACCGCUUUCGACUGUGACGAAGCGUGAGUGACGGUAAUGGGUAAAGAAGCACCGGCUAACUACGUG
This 468-nucleotide ribosomal RNA is filed under the name uncultured bacterium. RNAcentral describes it as "partial 16S ribosomal RNA". It matches the Rfam family "Bacterial small subunit ribosomal RNA", at positions 28 to 507 of the family's 1533-position model. The record is from RNAcentral.